UCAUUCCACGAGUUCCGUGCCGCAGCUAACGCAUUAAGCGCCCCGCCUGGGGAGUACGGCCGCAAGGCUAAAACUCAAAGGAAUUGACGGGGGCCCGCACAAGCGGCGGAGCAUGUUGCUUAAUUCGAUGCAACGCGAAGAACCUUACCUAGGCUUGACAUGCACGGAAAUCCUCCAGAGAUGGUGGGUCCGUAAGGGCCGUGCACAGGUGGUGCAUGGUUGUCGUCAGCUCGUGUCGUGAGAUGUUGGGUUAAGUCCCGCAACGAGCGCAACCCUCGUUCUAUGUUGCCAGCACGUCAUGGUGGGGACUCAUAGGAGACUGCCGGGGUCAACUCGGAGGAAGGUGGGGAUGACGUCAAAUCAUCAUGCCCCUUAUGUCUAGGGCUGCAAACAUGCUACAAUGGCCGGUACAAAGGGCUGCGAUACCGCGAGGUGGAGCGAAUCCCAAAAAGCCGGUCUCAGUUCGGAUUGGGGUCUGCAACUCGACCCCAUGAAGUUGGAGUCGCUAGUAAUCGCAGAUCAGCAACGCUGCGGUGAAUACGUUCCCGGGCCUUGUACACACCGCCCGUCACGUCACGAAAGUCGGUAACGCCCGAAGC
Molecule: ribosomal RNA, 599 nt
Filed under: uncultured bacterium
Lineage: Bacteria
Description: bacterial SSU rRNA
Rfam family: Bacterial small subunit ribosomal RNA
Source: RNAcentral